This is a non-coding RNA of Rattus norvegicus (Norway rat), 67 nucleotides long. Lineage: Eukaryota; Metazoa; Chordata; Mammalia; Rodentia; Muridae. The record is from Rfam.
GGAUUUAGCUCAGUGGUAGAGCGCUUGCCUAGCAAGCACAAGGCCCUGGGUUCGAUCCCCAGCUCCG